ACACAAUGUCUCUUCUUUAGGUUCUUGUCCUGUAACAAGAUGCUGAUGCUUUGCAUCAGACUCAGAACUGAGUUCUGUUGCUAAUUGCUAGUUGAGUGACUGAGGAUAUGUUUCUUAAAUGUGUAAAACUCUGAUUUAUCAGUUAAUAACAUGGGUAAUACCUGCCUUGCAGAACAGUAAUGUGUGUAGAAAAUGCUCGGGGAAGUGGCUGGCACCUAGGAGAUGAUCAGAAAAGGAUGUAUGUCUGAGGUCAAGCCUAGUGCUAAGGAAGGAGACACGGUCUCAACUAUGUAGUCCAGGCUGGCCUCGAAAUCGCAGCGAUCCUCUAGCCACAGUUUCCCUAGUGCUGGGAUUUCUGGUGUGCACCACCAUGCCCGGGAAAGCGCCUCGUUCUUUCACAGCCGUAACUUCCUCCUGGGUGCCCAGAUCAGACAGGUGAGCUGGAGCUGACACACGUGUGACUCGAACCUCUUCCAGCGCUGCCCGGUCACUCACCGUAGCCCUCUGGGCGCCAGAAGUCUCCCAUCCUAGGCCCCGCC
This 539-nucleotide long non-coding RNA is filed under the name Heterocephalus glaber (naked mole-rat). RNAcentral describes it as "lncRNA (ENSHGLG00000047264.1)". The record is from RNAcentral. Lineage: Eukaryota; Metazoa; Chordata; Mammalia; Rodentia; Bathyergidae.